CAAUAGCGUAUAUUAAAGUUGCUGCAGUUAAAAAGCUCGUAGUUGGAUCUCGGGCUCAGGCUUUCGGUCCGCCUCGCGGCGGUCACUGCUCGUCCUGACCUCCACGCCGGUGUCACCGUCCCUUGGUGCUCUUGACUGAGUGUCUCGGGCGGCCGGUACGUUUACUUUGAAGAAAUUAGAGUGCUUAAAGCAGGCCCUAGCCGCCUGAAUAAUGGUGCAUGGAAUAAUGGAAGAGGACCUCGGUUCUAUUUUGUUGGCUCUCGGAGCUCGAGGUAAUGAUUAACAGGGACUGACGGGGGCAUUCGUAUUGCGGCGCUAGAGGUGAAAUUCUUGGACCGUCGCAAGACGAACUACAGCGAAAGCAUUUGCCAAGCAUGUUUUCAUUAA
This 387-nucleotide ribosomal RNA is filed under the name uncultured eukaryote. Its description in RNAcentral is "partial 18S ribosomal RNA". It matches the Rfam family "Eukaryotic small subunit ribosomal RNA", at positions 592 to 976 of the family's 1831-position model. The record is from RNAcentral.